CAAGGUAAAAAAAACUUUGGUUUCAGUUGACAACCCUGUGUCCUGUGGUGAAGAUCGUGUCCGCUCUAUAUCUUGAGAACCGUUAUGAUUUCAAAGUUUAUACUUGACACGUAUAUGAACCAACACCAGAGGGUGUGUCAUAAUUUAUGAACGACUGCCUAGGGCAAAGUUAAAGGUCAAAAACUUUGGUUUCAGUUGACAACCCCAUGUCCUAUGGUAAAGAUCG
Molecule: long non-coding RNA, 226 nt
Filed under: Mytilus galloprovincialis (Mediterranean mussel)
Lineage: Eukaryota; Metazoa; Mollusca; Bivalvia; Mytilida; Mytilidae
Source: RNAcentral